Molecule: ribosomal RNA, 269 nt
Filed under: uncultured prokaryote
Description: partial 16S ribosomal RNA
Rfam family: Bacterial small subunit ribosomal RNA
Source: RNAcentral
UACGUAGGUGGCAAGCGUUAUCCGGAUUUACUGGGCGUAAAGAGCGCGUAGGCGGCUUUGUAAGUCGGAUGUAAAAUCUCCCGGCUCAACUGGGAGGGACCAUCCGAUACUGCUAGGCUAGAGUGCAGCAGAGGAAAGUGGAAUUCCCGGUGUAGUGGUGAAAUGCGUAGAUAUCGGGAGGAACACCAGUGGCGAAGGCGGCUUUCUGGGCUGUAACUGACGCUGAGGCGCGAAGGCGUGGGUAGCAAACAGGAUUAGAUACCCCCGUA